This is a long non-coding RNA of Macrobrachium nipponense, 1124 nucleotides long. RefSeq lists it as uncharacterized. The record is from RefSeq and is a predicted model, not a curated record. The transcript is spliced from 4 exons. Lineage: Eukaryota; Metazoa; Arthropoda; Malacostraca; Decapoda; Palaemonidae.
GUUGGUGUUCCUAUGUCGACAGUUCCCGAAUUUAAUCUUUGUUGCUUGUAAUUGUGGUGCGUGCCAGUAAACUGUUUCUCGAUCGUAGUUCUCAUCUAAGGGUGAUGUAUGCAUUAUCGUAACGUAUAAUUGCAAGCGUUAAAUGUUUCUAUACCUAGUGGAAAAUAUUCCCAAAACUCUCACUGUCAGAAGAAAUCUCGCAGAAGCUACUUAAGAAAUUCACCCCACGAGGCCUGCUGUUGGAGUGAUAGAGUUGAAAAGUGGCUGCUCCUGUGCAUUCUGCGUUUCUCCUGAAGACAGUAAAAGCAGCAACGUUCGGCCUUGCCUAUGAAAACUCAGAAAGGCAGCGCGAAGCAAGGCAAUCAGUCAGCCAACAAGCAUAUGGUGCCUCCAAGGCGCUGACUCAGCGUAUUUGACCCACCAAACAUUACCUCACACGCCAAGACUUACGUAAUCAUUCUUUAGCGCUCAUUUUUUGCUCAUAGAGAAUAGCAGUCACUUUCGUAAAAUGAUUUAAUUUUAGUUUGACAAGUUCAUUUCUCUUGUUUUGCUCACACGUUCAUGUUUGUUCAUCAUUCAGCUUCAUUUAGUGCAUAUUCUGUUCCACAUUACACACUGGGGCUCCGGAUUUUUUAGUUCUCCAUGGUUGUCAACAUGGAAGGCAAAAACAUAAAUCUCUUUGAGCUAUAUCUGCAUUGUUUCUUUUGUAGUUAAUUAACAUUUCCACGAGUAGGGCUGACCUAAUAUAAGACUAAAAAUACUGUCAUUUCUGCAUAUGAUUGAUCUUACACCUUUGACAAAUGAUUCCUUUAGUAAGUUAAUGCUCAUAUACUACUUAUAUUGCAUUAUGGGCCUUUCUGUUCCUUCUCUGAAAUGGGGCAAGGGAGAAGUUAAAUUUCCAACGAUGAACUGGUAUGUAGAGGUCUUGCGUAUUAUUAUUAAUAUAUAAUUAAUAAUAAUCUCAGUGCUUAAGGUAGUGAAAAGAGGGAGUUGGAGAUGUUAGACAGCAAGACAGAGGAAUCCAUAGAAUAAAGAGAUGAAGUACAAGGAUCUAAAGUUGGAACUAUAGGAGAAAACACCCACACUUGUAAAGUAUGCCAAUAUGCUUAAUCAAAGGUCAAGCC